CACACACACACACACACACACACACACACGCCCUACUCAUUUCCUUUCCCUUCCAACCCAGCCCCACCUGCUUAUUAGACUUGGACCUUGUGUCACCGGGAUGAUUCUCACUCUGCACUGACACCUCAGCUUUUCAUACCUGGUGCCUGGAAUACGCCCUGACCCCCCAGCGUGACCCUUCCCCAUCCGGGAGCCCCCACCCCAUACACACAUUUGUGCUCCGGGGGCGGCUUCUGGAGAUGGGAGCCCUAGGCAAAGGUCGCAGUAGGCGGCACUUAAGGGGAAGUUUUGCAUUUCUCUUUAUGGCUGUUUCUAGUACUUUCUUUAAUUCUUCCUUUCUCCUGGCUGUUUUGCUUUUCAACAUCGGAGAUUAAGCCCCAACGCAUUCUCACGCGCGGAAACCCCUAGUACUGCAGGUGGUCACUUCAGCAUUUCUAAACCUCUAAGAGCAGAUGAUCAGCCUGCUAGGUUUCCUAGAUUUUCCCCUUUCUUUGUGGAAGAUGGAGCUCCGGGGCUUUCAGCGAGUCCCAGGGCGUGGUGGAAGAGGAAGAGGAGGGGAGGGAAUGAGUUUGGCACCGGGCUGCAGCGGGGGCCUUCGGCUGCCUUGUCUUCCGAAGCUAAAUCCUGCUGGACACCACCACCUCCACCACAUUGAAAGCCUCUACCUCUCUUUUCGCCGGUAUUUCACACCCAACCCGAUGAUUUCGACAAGCUGUGCAGGUGGCUGCUUUGCGGAGAGAAUUCGCUGCUGCCGCCGCGGUCACCGGGUGUGGCCUCCUCGCAGGAGAACUCUGCACCGAGCUCCCCGCUGGGGCUGACAGAGAAUAGCCGCGUGAUUCCGCCCCGGUUCACCAGUGCGCCCUAAGAGGAAACACACAUUUCAGCAGACAGGUCGGAGUGGCUUUGCCGGUGACCCGCAGAGGACGAAGCACAGGAGCCCGGGUGAAGAGGGCGGGGUGAGGUUUAUGCUCCAUUCUGAUACCUCAACCUUCUCGAGGCAGAGGGAUGGACUGCCCGGAGAACUUCCCGGGGAUUUCUAAACAGUCACUCUAGGACUUGCAGUAAUGCGCAUUCCGAAACAUCCGUGUGGGCUGUGCCUUCUCCGAGCUCCGUCCAUGCUCUCGCACACUCAAGGAUGUCAAGCCUGCGGUCCUGGGCUGCCCACAACCUUGGCCCAGGCAGACCUGGCAGGGCGCUUACUACGAUGACUUUGUAGCCUGCAACCCUUGUCAUUCACCAGCGACUCAGCAGUAGCAGAUGCUUUGGUGCCAGAGAUGAGGGGCAGAAGGAGACCCGGGGAAAUCAUAUGUUUUUCUGCCCGCGGUUACCCAUAGGAAGAGGCUGAGCAACCGGAAGAAAGCCAGAGAGAGAGAGGAAGCGGACACACAGGGCAGAGAAGCCCACGCACCAGGUAUGUAUCCUGACACGGACGGAUGGGAAAGGAAACCAUAAUCUUAUAACUUAAGAAGAUGAGGGAAAGGGGAAUUGACAUUUAUUA
Long non-coding RNA from Fukomys damarensis (Damara mole-rat), 1498 nucleotides. RefSeq lists it as uncharacterized. The transcript is spliced from 3 exons. NCBI's taxonomy places the organism in Eukaryota, Metazoa, Chordata, Mammalia, Rodentia, Bathyergidae. The record is from RefSeq and is a predicted model, not a curated record.